RNAcentral lists this long non-coding RNA (844 nucleotides) under Coturnix japonica (Japanese quail). RNAcentral describes it as "lncRNA (ENSCJPG00005003005.1)". Lineage: Eukaryota; Metazoa; Chordata; Aves; Galliformes; Phasianidae. The record is from RNAcentral.
AUGUCCCAAGGAUGCCCAAGCCCAUCUUCUGAUCCUAGCGCAGAGCAGCUCCGGACAGAUGACAGUAGCUGUCCUCCUUCAAUACUGAGGAAAAGGCCACCUGUGGACCAGGAUAUGGGGGAAAAGCGGAAAGCAGAGAGAAGGGUUCGAUUUCGUGAGCCAGAAGAAGUCAUUGAACAUGUUAUUUCCUGCUGUGACUACGUAGCGGUAAAUGACAGGUCAUCACCUGGAUUGCCUAAGCUCCUGGGGCUAUCAUUUUGUGUGAUACUGAUCCUGGUCGCCAGCCUCUUCUACACCAGCAUGAAGCAAGAUGCCAAAGUCCUGGAGGAGUUUCAAUCCCGACUUGUUAUCUUCUUUCUUCAAAUAAGACACAUUGCUCAUAAAUGCUGGACUUGGUUUACAAGGUAGUAUCGAAGUCCUACAUCUGCAAGAAGGCAGCAAUGAUAACCACCAUGUGUCAGAGUGAACCUCCCAGCCUACUCAGUCCAUAUGUAAAGAACGCAUGAGUAACCACCUUGAAGAGCAAAAAAAAAAAAAAACAAAAAAACCCACCCAUUCUGUGCACUUUCUAGCAUCUACUUCUUGUUUUGUUUUUUUUUUUUUAAUAUAUAUUUUUUAAUAUUUCUGAAUGAUAGUAAAAGCACUAAGAGGACCCACCAAACUGACGUUCCAUCAUCCUUAACAGCAAACAAGGGUCUGAAUUUUGUCCCCGAGAGAGAUUAUAAACUGCUGGUAGGAGGAGCAGAAGCAGAGAGAGAAAUUCAUUCAUCUGCACAUGCAGAAGCACACUGAAGUCUCCUGAGUCUCAGGUCAAAGAAUAAACACCAAACUAUUUUUCUUCCCA